Molecule: ribosomal RNA, 181 nt
Filed under: uncultured bacterium
Lineage: Bacteria
Description: partial 16S ribosomal RNA
Rfam family: Bacterial small subunit ribosomal RNA
Source: RNAcentral
AUGAAGUUGGAAUCGCUAGUAAUCGCGGAUCAGCAUGCCGCGGUGAAUACGUUCCCGGGCCUUGUACACACCGCCCGUCACACCAUGAGAGUCGGGAACACCCGAAGUCCGUAGCCUAACCGCAAGGAGGGCGCGGCCGAAGGUGGGUUCGAUAAUUGGGGUGAAGUCGUAACAAGGUACC